UCGAGAAUUUUUCUCAAUGGGGGAAACCCUGAAGGAGCGACGCCGCGUGAAGGAUGAAGGUCUUCGGAUUGUAAACUUCUGUCAUUAGAGAACAAUUGCACGGGCAGUAACUGGCCUGUGCUUGAUAGUAUCUGAAGAGGAAGGGACGGCUAACUCUGUGCCAGCAGCCGCGGUAAUACAGAGGUCCCAAGCGUUGUUCGGAUUCAUUGGGCGUAAAGGGUGCGUAGGCGGUGCCGUAAGUCGGAUGUGAAAUCCCGGAGCUUAACUCCGGAACUGCAUUCGAUACUGCGGUGCUUGAGGACUGGAGAGGAGAUCGGAAUUCACGGUGUAGCAGUGAAAUGCGUAGAUAUCGUGAGGAAGACCAGUGGCGAAGGCGGAUCUCUGGACAGUUCCUGACGCUGAGGCACGAAGGCCAGGGGAGCAAACGGG
Molecule: ribosomal RNA, 429 nt
Filed under: uncultured bacterium
Lineage: Bacteria
Description: bacterial SSU rRNA
Rfam family: Bacterial small subunit ribosomal RNA
Source: RNAcentral